This 94-nucleotide non-coding RNA is filed under the name Chlorocebus sabaeus (green monkey). Lineage: Eukaryota; Metazoa; Chordata; Mammalia; Primates; Cercopithecidae. The record is from RNAcentral.
GGUUGGUCUGAUGGUAGUGGGUUAUCAGAACUUAUUAACAUUAGUGUCACUAAAUUGGCGUUUAGUCCCCCUGUGCUAAAUUUGACUGCCAAAA